GACGAACGCUGGCGGCGUGCUUAACACAUGCAAGUCGAACGGAAAGGCACUGCUUUUGUGGGGUGCUCGAGUGGCGAACGGGUGAGUAACACGUGAGUAACCUGCUCUUGACUUUGGGAUAACUUCAGGAAACUGGGGCUAAUACCGGAUAGGAGCUCCUGCUGCAUGGUGGGGGUUGGAAAGUUUCGGCGGUUGGGGAUGGACUCGCGGCUUAUCAGCUUGUUGGUGGGGUAGUGGCUUACCAAGGCUUUGACGGGUAGCCGGCCUGAGAGGGUGACCGGCGACAAUGGGACUGAGAUACGGCCCAGACUCCUACGGGAGGCAGCGGUGGGAAAUAUUGCACAAUGAGCGGAAGCCUGAUGCAGCAACGCCGCGUGCGGGAUGACGGCCUUCGGGUUGUAAACCGCUUUCGCCUGUGACGAAGCGUGAGUGACGGUAAUGGGUAAAGAAGCACCGGCUAACUACGUG
Molecule: ribosomal RNA, 468 nt
Filed under: uncultured bacterium
Lineage: Bacteria
Description: partial 16S ribosomal RNA
Rfam family: Bacterial small subunit ribosomal RNA
Source: RNAcentral